GCCCACGUAGCUCAGCAGGCAGAGCGGCUCUUUUGUAAAGAGCGGGUCGGGGGUUCGAUUCCCUCCGUGGGCU
This 73-nucleotide transfer RNA is filed under the name Candidatus Omnitrophota bacterium. RNAcentral's name for it is "tRNA-Thr". It matches the Rfam family "tRNA". From Rfam's summary of the family: Transfer RNA (tRNA) molecules are approximately 80 nucleotides in length. Their secondary structure includes four short double-helical elements and three loops (D, anti-codon, and T loops). The record is from RNAcentral. Lineage: Bacteria; Pseudomonadati; Candidatus Omnitrophota.